RNAcentral lists this ribosomal RNA (253 nucleotides) under uncultured bacterium. Its description in RNAcentral is "partial 16S ribosomal RNA". It matches the Rfam family "Bacterial small subunit ribosomal RNA", at positions 524 to 776 of the family's 1533-position model. The record is from RNAcentral.
UACAGAGGGUGCGAGCGUUGUUCGGAAUUAUUGGGCGUAAAGCGCUUGUAGGCGGCCUGUCAAGUCGCGUGUGAAAUCCCCUGGCUUAACCAGGGAAGUGCGCGCGAAACUGAAGGGCUUGAGUGCCGGAGAGGGUCGCGGAAUUCCCGGUGUAGAGGUGAAAUUCGUAGAUAUCGGGAGGAACACCAGUGGCGAAGGCGGCGACCUGGACCGAGACUGACGCUGAGGCGCGAAAGCGUGGGGAGCAAGCAGG